AUGAAGCGCUGCUUCAGCCUCGCAGCGGCGCUGGCCGUCGUGACCCUGGCCGCGCUUCUCUCGUCGGGCGCCGUGGUCGCAUGCAUCGACGUGGGCUUCUACGACACGACCUGCCCGUCGGCCGAGACCCUGGUGCAGCAGACCGUGGCCGCCGCCUUCGGCAACGACUCCGGCGUCGCUCCGGCCAUCAUCCGCCUCCACUUCCACGACUGCUUCGUCAAGGGGUGCGACGGCUCCGUGCUGAUCGACUCGACGCCUGGCAACAAGGCGGAGAAGGACUCGGCGCCCAACUUCCCCAGCCUCCGCUUCUUCGACGUGGUGGACCGCGCCAAGGCGGCCCUCGAGGCGCAGUGCCCCGGCGUCGUCUCCUGCGCCGACGUCCUCGCCUUCGCGGCGCGGGACAGCGUCGUGCUGUCGGGCGGCCUCGGGUACCAGGUGCCCGCAGGGCGCCGGGACGGCCGUGUGUCCACCGAAGCGGACGCGCUCAACAACCUGCCCGGGCCGACGUCCACCGCCUCCGACCUGGUCGCCGGCUUCGCCGCCAAGAACCUCACCGUCGAGGACAUCGUCGUCCUCUCCGGCGCCCACACCAUCGGCGUCUCCCACUGCAGCAGCUUCACCGAGCGAAUCUACAACUUCCCAACACAACCGACGGAAUUGACCCGAAGCUGA
Molecule: ribosomal RNA, 672 nt
Filed under: Triticum aestivum (bread wheat)
Lineage: Eukaryota; Viridiplantae; Streptophyta; Magnoliopsida; Poales; Poaceae
Description: partial small subunit ribosomal RNA
Source: RNAcentral